ACAGCAGUCGCCACGGGAAUACGGAGGGGGCUAGCGUUGUUCGGAAUUACUGGGCGUAAAGCGCACGUAGGCGGCUUGGUAAGUUAGAGGUGAAAGCCCGGAGCUCAACUCCGGAAUUGCCUUUAAGACUGCCGAGCUAGCAGGUGAGAGAGGUAAGUGGAAUUCCGAGUGUAGAGGUGAAAUUCGUAGAUAUUCGGAAGAACACCAGUGGCGAAGGCGGCUUACUGGCUCAUACUGGACGCUGAGGUGCGAAAGCGUGGGGAGCAAACAGGAUUAGAUACCCGUGUAGUCCCUGUCUCUUAUAC
Molecule: ribosomal RNA, 305 nt
Filed under: uncultured bacterium
Lineage: Bacteria
Description: partial 16S ribosomal RNA
Rfam family: Bacterial small subunit ribosomal RNA
Source: RNAcentral